GGCGACGACGAGGUCCAAAGCCCAUUACCUCUGAAGAAGCCUCGUAUAUUAACAAUUCCCAAAAUCGAAAUUUCUCAAAAUUAAUCAACUGGGAAUCAUUCGGUUCCAGAAAUCUUAGAGAAAAGAAACACAAUUUGAUUGGAUUUGUUUGUUUAGUAGGUGAUUUGUUUGUGUGUAAAUAGAAGGAAAGUAGAAAUUAAAUUGUAACCCCG
Molecule: unclassified non-coding RNA, 212 nt
Filed under: Hevea brasiliensis (rubber tree)
Lineage: Eukaryota; Viridiplantae; Streptophyta; Magnoliopsida; Malpighiales; Euphorbiaceae
Source: RNAcentral